Molecule: ribosomal RNA, 195 nt
Filed under: uncultured eukaryote
Lineage: Eukaryota
Description: partial 18S ribosomal RNA
Rfam family: Eukaryotic small subunit ribosomal RNA
Source: RNAcentral
CAUAACCUGGUUGAUCCUGCCAGUAGUCAUAUGCUUGUCUCAAAGAUUAAGCCAUGCAUGUCUAAGUAUAAGCAUCUUAUACGGCGAAACUGCAGAUGGCUCAUUAAAUCAGUUAUAGUUUAUUUGAUGAUACCUUACUACAUGGAUACCCGUAGUAAUUCUAGAGCUAAUACAUGCGCAAACGGGACUCCGCAA